Molecule: long non-coding RNA, 390 nt
Organism: Trachymyrmex cornetzi
Lineage: Eukaryota; Metazoa; Arthropoda; Insecta; Hymenoptera; Formicidae
Exons: 3
Source: RefSeq, a predicted model, not a curated record
GGCAAAAAACUCGUAGAUUUUGCAUCAUGAUAACGCACCGUCGUACAGUGCCAUCAUUAUCUGUGAAUUUUUGACCAAGAACGAAACGAAUACCAUCCAACAGCUAUCGAAUUCACCCGAUAUGGCUCCCUGCGAUUUUUUUCUGUUCGAUCGAGUCAAAAAACCACUACGGGGAACGCGUUUUAACAGCCGAAAGGAGGUAAUGGAAAAAUCGAAGACGGCUCUGAUGGCUAUACCGACAAUAGAGUUCCAGAAAUGUUUCGAGAGCUGGAUCAAGCGCUGGCAUAAGUGCGUUGCAGUCGAUGUGGAGUACUUUGAAGGGGACAAUAUCACUUUUGAUGAAUAAACUUGUAUUUUGAAUUUUCUGAAUAAAUUCCGGGAACUUUUUGA